GACGAACGCUGGCGGCGUGCUUAACACAUGCAAGUCGAACGAUGAAGCCUAGCUUGCUAGGUGGAUUAGUGGCGAACGGGUGAGUAAUACGUGAGUGACCUACCUUUGACUCUGGGAUAAGCCUGGGAAAUUGGGUCUAAUACCGGAUACGACCAAUCUCCGCAUGGGGUGUUGGUGGAAAGCGUUAUGGAGUGGUUUUAGAUGGGCUCACGGCCUAUCAGCUUGUUGGUGAGGUAAUGGCUUACCAAGGCGACGACGGGUAGCCGGCCUGAGAGGGUGACCGGCCACACUGGGACUGAGACACGGCCCAGACUCCUACGGGAGGCAGCAGUGGGGAAUAUUGCACAAUGGGCGCAAGCCUGAUGCAGCGACGCCGCGUGAGGGAUGACGGCCUUCGGGUUGUAAACCUCUGUUAGCAUCGAAGAAGCGAAAGUGACGGUAGGUGCAGAGAAAGCGCCGGCUAACUACGUGCCAGCAGCCGCGGUAGUACGUAGGGCGCGAGCGUUGUCCGGAAUUAUUGGGCGUAAAGAGCUUGUAGGCGGUUGGUCGCGUCUGCUGUGAAAGGCUGGGGCUUAACCCUGGUUUUGCAGUGGGUACGGGCUAACUAGAGUGCAGUAGGGGAGACUGGAAUUCCUGGUGUAGCGGUGGAAUGCGCAGAUAUCAGGAGGAACACCGAUGGCGAAGGCAGGUCUCUGGGCUGUAACUGACGCUGAGAAGCGAAAGCAUGGGGAGCGAACAGGAUUAGAUACCCUGGUAGUCCAUGCCGUAAACGUUGGGCACUAGGUGUGGGGGACAUUCCACGUUUUCCGCGCCGUAGCUAACGCAUUAAAUUGCCCCCCCUGGGGAGUAGGGCCGCAAGGCUAAAACUCAAAGAAAUUGACGGGGGCCCGCACAAGCGGCGGAGCAUGCGGAUUAAUUCGAUGCAACGCGAAGAACCUUACCAAGGCUUGACAUAUACUGGACUGCGUCAGAGAUGGCGUUUCCCUUCGGGGCUGGUAUACAGGUGGUGCAUGGUUGUCGUCAGCUCGUGUCGUGAGAUGUUGGGUUAAGUCCCGCAACGAGCGCAACCCUCGUUCUAUGUUGCCAGCACGUGAUGGUGGGGACUCAUAGGAGACUGCCGGGGUUAACUCGGAGGAAGGUGGGGAUGACGUCAAAUCAUCAUGCCCCUUAUGUCUUGGGCUUCACGCAUGCUACAAUGGCCGGUACAGAGGGUUGCGGUACUGUGAGGUGGAGCUAAUCCCUAAAAGCCGGUCUCAGUUCGGAUUGGGGUCUGCAACUCGACCCCAUGAAGUCGGAGUCGCUAGUAAUCGCAGAUCAGCAACGCUGCGGUGAAUACGUUCCCGGGCCU
RNAcentral lists this ribosomal RNA (1348 nucleotides) under uncultured bacterium. RNAcentral's name for it is "bacterial SSU rRNA". It matches the Rfam family "Bacterial small subunit ribosomal RNA", at positions 28 to 1381 of the family's 1533-position model. The record is from RNAcentral.